RNAcentral lists this long non-coding RNA (714 nucleotides) under Rattus norvegicus (Norway rat). Its description in RNAcentral is "long non-coding RNA NONRATT001066". Lineage: Eukaryota; Metazoa; Chordata; Mammalia; Rodentia; Muridae. The record is from RNAcentral.
GGGGGCUUCUAUGCCCUCACCCCACGCCCUGGCCUCCGCCUCAUCUCUCUCAAUAUGAAUUUUUGUUCCCGUGAGAACUUUUGGCUCUUGAUCAACUCCACAGAUCCUGCUGGACAACUCCAGUGGCUGGUGGACGAGCUUCAGGCUGCUGAGAAUCGAGGAGACAAAGUAAGGAGAUGCCUUAUGAGCCCUGUGGAGAAGGUGCUGUUGGGGCUGAGGAGAAGCAGGCUGCUGUGCGGCUGAGGUCUCUGAAGAGGGGAGUGUUACUUCACUUCCUGGAACUCCAGUCUUCCCUGGGUCCAUGGCCACCCUCCUAUGUCCUUCAUAUACUCUGUCUCCUGCCACUUCGCCCAAGGCUGCCUGGACUCCUCAACGCUCUAAUGGCCCUUACUUUCCCUUCAGGUGCAUAUAAUUGGGCACAUUCCUCCAGGACAUUGCCUCAAGAGCUGGAGUUGGAACUAUUACAAAAUUAUAGCCAGGUAAAGGGAUAGAGGGCUUGGGUGUGGGGACUGAAGGGUUAAAGUACCCUCAAGAGUCAGGCAGUGGUAGCACAUGCCGUUAAUGGCAGCACUCUUGAGUUCAAGGCCAUCCAGUCUACAAAGUGAGUUCCAGGACAGCCAGGGCUGUUAACAUAAAGAAAUCCUGCCUCUGGAUUUAAAAAAAAAAAAGGAAAGGAAGGAGCAAUUCCCCCAAGCAUGGAGUCUCAGUCUGGUG